CAGGCCCAGCAAGUGCAAAGGCCCGGAGGUGGGAAGCGAUGCAGAUAUGGCUGGAGGGGAGGGCGGACUUCAAGGGCCUUGGAGGUUGGGAGCCACUUUCAGGCUGAGCCUCCCGGCUUCUCUCCCCAGCAUCCCGGCGGCGCAGGCGCAGAGGACAGCGAGCUGCAGGCCUACAUCGCACAGUGCCAGGACAGCCCCACCUCCGGCAAGUUCCGCCGCGGGAGCGGCUCGGCCUGCAGCCUUCUCUGCUGUUGCGGAAGGGACCCCUCGGAGGAGCAUUCGCUGCUGGUGAAUUGAUUCGACCUGACUGCCGUUGGACCGUAGGCCCUGGACUGCAGAGACCCCCGCCCCCGACCCCGCUUAUUUAUUUUUAGGGUUUGCUUUUAAGGAUCGGCUCCCUGUCGCGCCCGAGGAGGGCCUGGACCUUUCGUGUCGGACCCUUGGGGGCGGGGAGACUGGGUGGGGAGGGUGUUGAAUAAAAGGGAAAAUAAA
RNAcentral lists this small RNA (492 nucleotides) under Pan troglodytes (chimpanzee). Its description in RNAcentral is "retained intron". Lineage: Eukaryota; Metazoa; Chordata; Mammalia; Primates; Hominidae. The record is from RNAcentral.